UGCAUGUUUUUAUGACUUGUUGUUUGUGAUUGCAUGUUGGACAAUUUAUAAUCUGCUUUGAGUUUUGUUUGAGUUGUGUCCUCAAUUGACAAUCGUCCCCAACUAAUUAGCAAUUAGUGGCAUAUGGCAAAUGGACCAAUGGGGAAAGGCCAGGGGCAGAACUUUCUCUUUUUAAGUAGGAAGACAGAACACUGACUGGGGGAAGAAACCAGGAGAGCUGAGGAGAAACAAGGGGAACCGGGGAGCAACAAGGAAAACCGGGAAGAAACAAGACACGAGAGAAGGGAGAAGGAGCAAGGAAAGAAAGGCAGCAGCAGAGGCACCACCAUCAGCAGCAGAGGCAGCAGCAGCAGCAGCAGCAGCGGAGGGCAGGAGCAGACUCGCCACCACCAGCAGAAGCCGACGCACCACCAGAAGCCGCAGCAGCAGAGGGCAACUGGCAGUCAGACGUCCAAACCAGUGGACCAGGGACACGCAGGACUUCGCUCCUGCUGUGGUGAUGACCCUGGAUGGACUAUUUUAGCUCACUUUUUUUAUAUAUUUUAAUCUUCGUAUUAAAAUAAAUAUUUUUUUAGUCAUAUUUCCACCCCUGUCUCCUCCUGGGUCAUUGUUUUACUGCUCCCCUCCAAACAAACAAACCUUUGUUUUUAAUUAUUUAGAGUUCCUAGGUUCCUAGCUUUUACCUAGGUGGCGUUGUUGGCAACACUUUUAGUUUUUAAGAAGAAACCUCGGCCGCUGACAUACUCGUCACAUCAGCUUUUAAUUUAAUGAUUAAAAAUAUGAGCGCCGCGUCAUGAUGUGAAGGUAGUUACAAGUCAACCACAUAGAGACAUAUAUGGCUUUAUUCAAACCAUCUUUGAAGUAACUGGUUCUUGCUUCAAGGGGAAGUAAAACGUUCUCAACUUCCUGGUUUCAUCGUCACACGUCCAUUCUGCAACAUGAGGCCGUGUGUCGUGCUUCUCUUUGCCGUUUCUCUGCUGACAUUAUGUGAAGCACAAGGUGCUGCCACCUGAGUGUCCGAGUGAGGGAAGGAGAGAAUUAGUUGGGUGUCUUCGUCAUAGCUGUGGUAGGAGAAUCCAUGCGAGCGAAUGACAGCGCCGAGAGAGUUUGUGUAGAGCGAGAAGGGGACCCAGGACGGAACCCUGAGGAACUCCAGUAGUAA
Long non-coding RNA from Gasterosteus aculeatus aculeatus (three-spined stickleback), 1162 nucleotides. The record is from Ensembl. NCBI's taxonomy places the organism in Eukaryota, Metazoa, Chordata, Actinopteri, Perciformes, Gasterosteidae.